GUUAUAUGGUCAAGCGAGUAAGCGUACACGGUGGAUGCCUAGGCGGUAGGAGGCGAUGAAGGACGUGGUAGCCUGCGAUAAGCCUCGGGGAGCCGGCAAACAGGCUUUGAUCCGGGGAUUUCCGAAUGGGGAAACCCGCCCCUUUUCAGGGGCAUCCCGCUUUGCGGGAGGCGAACCCGGGGAACUGAAACAUCUAAGUACCCGGAGGAAAAGAAAUCAAUCGAGAUUCCCUCAGUAGCGGCGAGCGAACGGGGAACAGCCUGGCACGAUUUAGCCAGUGCCCUAGUGGAACGGUCUGGAAAGUCCGACCGCAGAGGGUGAUAGUCCCGUACACGAAAGGGUGCUGGUGGAACUAGGCGUGCGAACAAGUAGGUCGGGACACGUGUUAUCCUGACUGAAGAUGGGGGGACCAUCCUCCAAGGCUAAAUACUCCCUACCGACCGAUAGUGAACCAGUACCGUGAGGGAAAGGCGAAAAGAACCCCGG
Molecule: ribosomal RNA, 486 nt
Rfam family: Bacterial large subunit ribosomal RNA